CUCUAUCUCCUAUUGUGCACGGAUAAACAAAACAACCAAAUGUAGAGAUCGGUUCACCCGUGAUACUGACCAUCGAAAACGGUGUAUUACAAGAACUUAAAGCAAUUUUCUCCUGAACUUUUAAAUGGAAAUUAAAUGAAAUUAAUGACACCACUGACCCGGUGUCAACUAACGCCCGAGUUCUGCAUGGUCCUACGCUUACUUCCACGACGCACGAUCUGUGCGUCUGAUCGGCGUUUUUUUUUUCCGUUCCGUAAAGGUAAAACCUUCACGUCCUUUGUCGUCGCCCCACCUGGGGGACACGCGCCCAAAAUUGCCAUCCGGCUCUGCUACUGGGCGCCCCCGAGCUAAGGGUAUUGGUCUCGGGUUAUCUUGCCCUGGCCUCCUAGUUCCUUGGUUCUCAGCCCGUCUGCCUCCACGGUACGUUAUUGCUCUCCCGGCCCCGUAGGUUAUCCAAUAUCGGGAGUU
RNAcentral lists this long non-coding RNA (468 nucleotides) under Androctonus crassicauda. The record is from RNAcentral. Lineage: Eukaryota; Metazoa; Arthropoda; Arachnida; Scorpiones; Buthidae.